This is a long non-coding RNA of Gallus gallus (chicken), 1839 nucleotides long. The record is from Ensembl. NCBI's taxonomy places the organism in Eukaryota, Metazoa, Chordata, Aves, Galliformes, Phasianidae.
UCCAGUUGCUAAAUAUAUAAUAACAACUGCAGUACUCUUUAAAACUGACUUAAGACUGAGAUGGAAAGUGGCUGCAGUGUACUUGCUUUCAGUGAUGUCUGGGCUGGAGUUAUUUGGAGCUGCAGUGGUUGAUUAUUGUUUGCGAGGAGGUUCUUAAAAUAAUUGUGGCAAAUGGAGCGAUGUUUGAAGUGUAUAAAAAUGGAAAGCUUUCAUUCCAUCUCUGAGAAGCGUGCCAAGUGAUGAAAAUUAAGGUAAAAAGGAAUUUGUGGAAGAAAUGAAGAGCAUAGACUUCUCUGGAAUGUGAGAGUAUCACCUGGACUGGAGAGAAGUGGAGGACUGGGCAGAAGAGGAGGAAAUAUGGAUGUUUGUUAGGGAAAACUGAACAGUGAGAACAUGGAAGCUGGGUGAGGGGACAGGCUCAAGAGUGUUGUGAUCCAUGGCAUGAAGACCACCCAGAGGCAGGCGUGUUGGUGUUCCUGCAAUAUUCAGGAAUUUCCCUCUGGGGCUGCACUUGGCUUGAGGACUACAGCUGCUGCACACAGCAAACCAGGGUGACCAGCAGAUGUCAGCUCUUUGGUUCGUCUCAUCAGGAGGAAAUCGCAGUUGCUGUGGACAGGACUACACAGAGAAAAGAAAGAAGAACCUGGCCCUUCAAAAUGAUGCAUCUGCAACUGCAUCAUACAGAAAUUUACAGCCAUCUUCAAACACCGCCCAGCUUGCCUGCUGGGGCAUCUAUUUCAGUGCCGAAUAGAUGGUCAUUGCCAUAACAUCCAACACUGUGAUUGCUGCUGUGAUGGCCACUAUUAGUGCAAAUGGCAUUUUCAGGCCCAUUACACUGAGUGCAUUCAGGAGGGCCCAAAACCUGUGGAAAAUGUAUAAUUAAACUAUUUGGGAACACUUAGGCCAACUGAUACCAGAAUGAAUUAUGGUAUAUGCAGCUUGUUGUUCUUCUAAUGAGUAAUACAGUUACUGCUAUAAAGUAGCUGUUUUGAAUAAUUGUCUAAUUUUCAAAUGGAAAAAUAUAUUGAGAUAAUUACUUAAGUAGAGUCUAAAAAUAAAUUCUAAGUUCAUUAAGAAACAGCUUUAAAUUUGCUAAAUACUUUAGCUGGCCUUAUUAAAAUACAUUGCUUCAGAAAGUGAGAAAUUAUUCUUUUGUGGUGAGAUGAGAAAAGUAGCUUUAAUAACAAAAGUAUGUUUUAAAUUUAAAUAUGUAAGCACUUCAAACCUUACAGCUUCAAAAGUGAAAAAGAUGAAUGGGUCAAACCCUGUCCCCAUUUCAGUUAAAGACAGUCUUGCCACUUAUUUCAGUCAAGUACGGGUGACACUCAAAGUGGUGAAUCUAACCUAUAAUUUCCCCGCUGCUCUGUUUUACUGGGAGAUAAUACAUUUAUCUCAUUCAGGCCUUUGUAUCUCUCAUUAGCUCUCAUCCAGGAACCCCAAGGAGUUUAAUGGUGGAACCUGAACAAUCAUGCAAAAUCCACUUCUGCUUAUAAUACCCAUGUAGGGAUGUCACCCCUCUCAAACUCUUUCCUAGUGAAACAAACCAGUGAGAUUCAAGACCUGAAAAGAAGAUUAUUGUAGCUUUUACAAAAAUCUUUACAAGUGGGUCAGUUACUUUACAGCUCUAAUAGUAUUCUUUUUUUCUUUCUCAUGUAAUUAUUAACCCAGUAGCAUAUUUUGAUUUAAGUUAAUCUUUGCUUUUGUAUAGCGUUAUUUGCAAUAAAUUCUGAAGUAUCAAAUGCUUUUGUGUGACGUGGAGAAGGUGUCUUUAUCAGCAGGAGCAUCUCCUGGGAAAGAAUCAAAGAGCACAGGCAGCAGUGUGAAGACAGUCUAAUCACA